GUCAGAAUGGCCGAGUGGUCUAAGGCGCCAGAUUUAAGCUCUAGUUCUCGAAAGAGAGUGUGGGAUCGAACCCCGCUUCUGACA
This 84-nucleotide transfer RNA is filed under the name Parasteatoda tepidariorum (common house spider). RNAcentral's name for it is "transfer RNA leucine (anticodon UAA)". It matches the Rfam family "tRNA". Rfam says of the family: Transfer RNA (tRNA) molecules are approximately 80 nucleotides in length. Their secondary structure includes four short double-helical elements and three loops (D, anti-codon, and T loops). Lineage: Eukaryota; Metazoa; Arthropoda; Arachnida; Araneae; Theridiidae. The record is from RNAcentral.